AUGAUAUUACGUAGUUCUGAGGGCAACAUAAUUUUUUCAUCUUGCCGAUUCCUGCACACCUGCUGCAGCGCGCUCGAAGCUGAAGUCGCUGCCUGUGCAGAAGGCUUGGCUCUUGCUCUGGAGUGGAGUAAGGAGCCGUUCAUCCUUGAAUCAGACUGCUCCGUUGCUGUCAACAUGCUAAAGGAUGGGGAACCAAAUAGGUCCCCGAUGGCAGCCAUGGUGGAGGAAGCAAAACUACUACUGAAAUCUGGACGUGAAGUUGUGCUGUUACAUGUGAGACGAGGCCAAAAUCCUGUAGCUCACACCCUUGCUCAGAUGGGCAGGGUUUCUUCUCGCACUGCCGUCUGGCUCCGUCACGGACCAGAUGAAAUUAGCCAGUUGUGCCAGUUAGAUUGUAAUGAACCUCCUUGA
Molecule: ribosomal RNA, 411 nt
Filed under: Triticum aestivum (bread wheat)
Lineage: Eukaryota; Viridiplantae; Streptophyta; Magnoliopsida; Poales; Poaceae
Description: partial small subunit ribosomal RNA
Source: RNAcentral